This 270-nucleotide ribosomal RNA is filed under the name Pelobates cultripes (western spadefoot toad). RNAcentral describes it as "SSU_rRNA_microsporidia". It matches the Rfam family "Eukaryotic small subunit ribosomal RNA", at positions 213 to 472 of the family's 1831-position model. Lineage: Eukaryota; Metazoa; Chordata; Amphibia; Anura; Pelobatidae. The record is from RNAcentral.
CGCAGAAUAGCUGUUGACAUUAUAGUUGCGCAGGCACUUUGUUGACUCAAGAGAACCUCGGGCCAAUCGCACAUCCCCGUGACGGCGACUUUGCAUUUGGAUGUCAUCCAUAUCAACAUUCGAUGCCAGAUUCUGCGCCUACCAUGGUGACCACGGGUAACGGGGUAUCAGGGUUCCAUUCCGUACAGGGACCUUGAGAAACGGCUACCACAUGCAAGGAAGGCAGCAGGCGCGCAAAUGACCCACUCCCGACGCGGAAAGGUAGUGACG